UGCCAGACUCCUACGGGAGGCAGCAGUGGGGAAUAUUGCACAAUGGGGGAAACCCUGAUGCAGCGACGCCGCGUGAGCGAUGAAGUAUUUCGGUAUGUAAAGCUCUAUCAGCAGGGAAGAAGAUGACGGUACCUGACUAAGAAGCCCCGGCUAACUACGUGCCAGCAGCCGCGGUAAUACGUAGGGGGCAAGCGUUAUCCGGAUUUACUGGGUGUAAAGGGAGCGUAGACGGCGGCGCAAGCCAGAUGUGAAAGCCCGGGGCUCAACUCCGGGACUGCAUUUGGAACUGUGUGGCUGGAGUGUCGGAGAGGCAGGCGGAAUUCCUAGUGUAGCGGUGAAAUGCGUAGAUAUUAGGAGGAACACCAGUGGCGAAGGCGGCCUGCUGGACGAUGACUGACGUUGAGGCUCGAAAGCGUGGGGAGCAAACAGGAUUAGAUACCCCCGUAAG
RNAcentral lists this ribosomal RNA (448 nucleotides) under uncultured bacterium. Its description in RNAcentral is "bacterial SSU rRNA". It matches the Rfam family "Bacterial small subunit ribosomal RNA", at positions 329 to 793 of the family's 1533-position model. The record is from RNAcentral.